RNAcentral lists this ribosomal RNA (476 nucleotides) under Lutjanus kasmira (common bluestripe snapper). Its description in RNAcentral is "partial small subunit ribosomal RNA". It matches the Rfam family "Bacterial small subunit ribosomal RNA", at positions 788 to 1491 of the family's 1533-position model. The record is from RNAcentral. Lineage: Eukaryota; Metazoa; Chordata; Actinopteri; Lutjaniformes; Lutjanidae.
CACUAUGCCUAGCCAUAAACAUUGAUAGUAAACUACACCUACUAUCCGCCCGGGAACUACGAGCAUCAGCUUGAAACCCAAAGGACUUGGCGGUGCUUUAGAUCCACCUAGAGGAGCCUGUUCUAGAACCGAUUACCCCCGUUCAACCUCACCUUUCCUUGUUUUUUCCGCCUAUAUACCACCGUCGUCAGCUUACCCUAUGAAGGACUUAUAGUAAGCAAGAUUGGCACAGCCCAAAACGUCAGGUCGAGGUGUAGCGUAUGGAAAGGGAAGAAAUGGGCUACAUUCCCUAAUACAGUGAAAUACGAACGAUACACUGAAAUACGUAUCUGAAGGAGGAUUUAGCAGUAAGCAGAAAAUAGAGCGUUCCGCUGAAACCGGCCCUGAAGCGCGCACACACCGCCCGUCACUCUCCCCAAGCUUAAUAACCCUUAGUACCUAAAACCUAAAAACUGCAAAGGGGAGGCAAGUCGUAA